GAGAAGCCAGUCAAACCUCCCCUUGUUGAGAACAUUUUGACAGCAUAAAAUUGUUGCCGGAAUGUGACUUUAACGAAAAGUAAAAAAAAAAAAAAAAGAAAAAAAGAAAAAAAAAUCCUUCCUUCAUGCAUAUGGAGUUUUUUGGAAAAAAAAAUGGUAUUUUAAUGCUUUCUAUUAAAUUGGGACUAAAAGUGGUGUCUUAAUUUGCAUGCAUUAGCAUAUUUGCAUAUAGAUCACUGAAAUGGUGGAAGAGAGAAGAGCCUUUAAAUGAAAAUUCUUUUAAAGGCACAGGCCCGCUUCCCUCCCCACCUCCCUCUGGGAUUUAUGCUUGAUCUUUUCCUCUCACCUCCAACCCCACCUUUAUGUCUUGAUUAAGCUGUGAAUGGACAGGAGAGUCAAGGCUCUACUUCUUAGGAGCCAAUUCGGGGUGGAGUCAAGGGGCCAGAAAGUCCUGGCCCUUGAUCACCCCCUGGCAGAGCUCUGAGCUGGCCUGUCCUGGCAGUGAGUGGCUCUGGAGGACGGGCCUAUGUCCACGCCGACAGGCAGGUGGCCUGGACCCCCGGGCCUCUUCCAGCCAUUAUCCUGCCCUCUUUCUGGCUCUUCCCCUCCCACCCCCGCCCCCCGGGCCAGGUUGGUUCUAUAGAAGCCCACUGUGGGCACCUGUCCUGCCAGCCCCUGGCCCCAGAGGAGGGGAUGCUCUUCUUCCUCUGGUGUAACCCAUCUCCAUCCUCCGUUACUCUCUGCCACUGUCCUUGUUUCACUGUCUGCAGAGAACUCACUAGUUGUUUGUUUACUUGAUGAUUUGUCUCUUCCCGCCAACACCACCCUUGCCAAGGACAAACUCCACAGAAGCACAGCCCGGUGGCCGACUCAUUCAUAGCUAGACCCAUGGUGCUACUGACAACGCCCAGCGCAUUAUGGGUAUUCAGUAACUGUUCAUUGAAUGAGUGAAAGGGGGCUGGGACUCCUGCCAGGCUGAGCCUUUCCCAGUGCCAUGGUCUCAUGGUACACAGUGCCACACCCCAGCCCCCUUUAGAUGUCUUCAGCCUUGCUGGAGGAGCAGGAUUUGGGAAUUGUCCAGGGCCUUCCAGUCUGAUCCCAGGCCCUCAAAGAAUGCUUUAGCCCACCCUUGUUCCUUUGGAUGGCAGGCUGGAUGGAGUGGGGACCUGGCCUUAGGGAGCAAUCGGGCAGGGUGGCCUAUAGGAAAUGUUCAGCAUGGGGGAAAGAGCUGGGGCUGAUGAAGCUAGGGUCACCUUAUGCCAAC
Molecule: long non-coding RNA, 1264 nt
Filed under: Marmota monax (woodchuck)
Lineage: Eukaryota; Metazoa; Chordata; Mammalia; Rodentia; Sciuridae
Source: RNAcentral